CGUGGAAACACUUGUUCUCGUACGAUCACCGAAGUUAAGCAACGUCGAGCCUGGUCAGUACCUAGAUGCGUGAUCGCUUGGGAAUGCUAGGUGCUGUAAG
This 100-nucleotide ribosomal RNA is filed under the name Acanthosepion pharaonis. The record is from RNAcentral. Lineage: Eukaryota; Metazoa; Mollusca; Cephalopoda; Sepiida; Sepiidae.